GGGUUGUGAGGUUAAGCGACUAAGCGUACACGGUGGAUGCCCUGGCAGUCAGAGGCGAUGAAGGACGUGCUAAUCUGCGAUAAGCGUCGGUGAGGUGAUAUGAACCGUUAUAACCGGCGAUUUCCGAAUGGGGAAACCCAGUGUGUUUCGACACACUAUCAUUAACUGAAUCCAUAGGUUAAUGAGGCGAACCGGGGGAACUGAAACAUCUAAGUACCCCGAGGAAAAGAAAUCAACCGAGAUUCCCCCAGUAGCGGCGAGCGAACGGGGAGGAGCCCAGAGCCUGAAUCAGUGUGUGUGUUAGUGGAAGCGUCUGGAAAGGCGUGCGAUACAGGGUGACAGCCCCGUACACAAAAAUGCACAUAUUGUGAGCUCGAUGAGUAGGGCGGGACACGUGGUAUCCUGUCUGAAUAUGGGGGGACCAUCCUCCAAGGCUAAAUACUCCUGACUGACCGAUAGUGAACCAGUACCGUGAGGGAAAGGCGAAAAGAACCCCGGCGAGGGGAGUGAAAAAGAACCUGAAACCGUGUACGUACAAGCAGUGGGAGCCUCUUAAUGGGGUGACUGCGUACCUUUUGUAUAAUGGGUCAGCGACUUAUAUUCUGUAGCAAGGUUAACCGAAUAGGGGAGCCGAAGGGAAACCGAGUCUUAACUGGGCGUUAAGUUGCAGGGUAUAGACCCGAAACCCGGUGAUCUAGCCAUGGGCAGGUUGAAGGUUGGGUAACACUAACUGGAGGACCGAACCGACUAAUGUUGAAAAAUUAGCGGAUGACUUGUGGCUGGGGGUGAAAGGCCAAUCAAACCGGGAGAUAGCUGGUUCUCCCCGAAAGCUAUUUAGGUAGCGCCUCGUGAAUUCAUCUCCGGGGGUAGAGCACUGUUUCGGCAAGGGGGUCAUCCCGACUUACCAACCCGAUGCAAACUGCGAAUACCGGAGAAUGUUAUCACGGGAGACACACGGCGGGUGCUAACGUCCGUCGUGAAGAGGGAAACAACCCAGACCGCCAGCUAAGGUCCCAAAGUCAUGGUUAAGUGGGAAACGAUGUGGGAAGGCCCAGACAGCCAGGAUGUUGGCUUAGAAGCAGCCAUCAUUUAAAGAAAGCGUAAUAGCUCACUGGUCGAGUCGGCCUGCGCGGAAGAUGUAACGGGGCUAAACCAUGCACCGAAGCUGCGGCAGCGACACUAUGUGUUGUUGGGUAGGGGAGCGUUCUGUAAGCCUGUGAAGGUGGCCUGUGAGGGUUGCUGGAGGUAUCAGAAGUGCGAAUGCUGACAUAAGUAACGAUAAAGCGGGUGAAAAGCCCGCUCGCCGGAAGACCAAGGGUUCCUGUCCAACGUUAAUCGGGGCAGGGUGAGUCGACCCCUAAGGCGAGGCCGAAAGGCGUAGUCGAUGGGAAACAGGUUAAUAUUCCUGUACUUGGUGUUACUGCGAAGGGGGGACGGAGAAGGCUAUGUUGGCCGGGCGACGGUUGUCCCGGUUUAAGCGUGUAGGCUGGUUUUCCAGGCAAAUCCGGAAAACCAAGGCUGAGGCGUGAUGACGAGGCACUACGGUGCUGAAGCGACAAAUGCCCUGCUUCCAGGAAAAGCCUCUAAGCAUCAGGUAACAUCAAAUCGUACCCCAAACCGACACAGGUGGUCAGGUAGAGAAUACCAAGGCGCUUGAGAGAACUCGGGUGAAGGAACUAGGCAAAAUGGUGCCGUAACUUCGGGAGAAGGCACGCUGAUAUGUAGGUGAAGCGACUUGCUCGUGGAGCUGAAAUCAGUCGAAGAUACCAGCUGGCUGCAACUGUUUAUUAAAAACACAGCACUGUGCAAACACGAAAGUGGACGUAUACGGUGUGACGCCUGCCCGGUGCCGGAAGGUUAAUUGAUGGGGUUAGCGGUAACGCGAAGCUCUUGAUCGAAGCCCCGGUAAACGGCGGCCGUAACUAUAACGGUCCUAAGGUAGCGAAAUUCCUUGUCGGGUAAGUUCCGACCUGCACGAAUGGCGUAAUGAUGGCCAGGCUGUCUCCACCCGAGACUCAGUGAAAUUGAACUCGCUGUGAAGAUGCAGUGUACCCGCGGCAAGACGGAAAGACCCCGUGAACCUUUACUAUAGCUUGACACUGAACAUUGAGCCUUGAUGUGUAGGAUAGGUGGGAGGCUUUGAAGUGUGGACGCCAGUCUGCAUGGAGCCGACCUUGAAAUACCACCCUUUAAUGUUUGAUGUUCUAACGUUGGCCCGUAAUCCGGGUUGCGGACAGUGUCUGGUGGGUAGUUUGACUGGGGCGGUCUCCUCCUAAAGAGUAACGGAGGAGCACGAAGGUUGGCUAAUCCUGGUCGGACAUCAGGAGGUUAGUGCAAUGGCAUAAGCCAGCUUGACUGCGAGCGUGACGGCGCGAGCAGGUGCGAAAGCAGGUCAUAGUGAUCCGGUGGUUCUGAAUGGAAGGGCCAUCGCUCAACGGAUAAAAGGUACUCCGGGGAUAACAGGCUGAUACCGCCCAAGAGUUCAUAUCGACGGCGGUGUUUGGCACCUCGAUGUCGGCUCAUCACAUCCUGGGGCUGAAGUAGGUCCCAAGGGUAUGGCUGUUCGCCAUUUAAAGUGGUACGCGAGCUGGGUUUAGAACGUCGUGAGACAGUUCGGUCCCUAUCUGCCGUGG
Molecule: ribosomal RNA, 2633 nt
Filed under: Escherichia coli
Lineage: Bacteria; Pseudomonadati; Pseudomonadota; Gammaproteobacteria; Enterobacterales; Enterobacteriaceae
Description: partial 23S ribosomal RNA
Rfam family: Bacterial large subunit ribosomal RNA
Source: RNAcentral